UACGGGGGGGGCAAGCGUUGUUCGGAAUUACUGGGCGUAAAGGGCUCGUAGGUGGCCAACUAAGUCGGACGUGAAAUCCCUCGGCUUAACCGGGGAACUGCGUCCGAUACUGGUUGGCUUGAGUUUGGGAGAGGGAUGCGGAAUUCCAGGUGUAGCGGUGAAAUGCGUAGAUAUCUGGAGGAACACCGGUGGUGUAGACGGCUUUCUGGACCGUAACUGACGCUGAGACACGAAAGCGUGGGUAGCAAACAGG
RNAcentral lists this ribosomal RNA (253 nucleotides) under uncultured bacterium. Its description in RNAcentral is "partial 16S ribosomal RNA". It matches the Rfam family "Bacterial small subunit ribosomal RNA", at positions 524 to 776 of the family's 1533-position model. The record is from RNAcentral.